UCUUAGCCCUGAUUGAGCGGCAUGUCUGAGCUCUUUUUCUUUGAAAAGAAAAAAGCGAGUAGCGAAAGCAGGUACACCA
This 79-nucleotide unclassified non-coding RNA is filed under the name Chryseobacterium takakiae. RNAcentral describes it as "Flavo-1 RNA". The record is from RNAcentral. Lineage: Bacteria; Pseudomonadati; Bacteroidota; Flavobacteriia; Flavobacteriales; Weeksellaceae.